RNAcentral lists this ribosomal RNA (490 nucleotides) under uncultured bacterium. RNAcentral's name for it is "partial 16S ribosomal RNA". It matches the Rfam family "Bacterial small subunit ribosomal RNA", at positions 30 to 507 of the family's 1533-position model. The record is from RNAcentral.
AUUGAACGCUGGCGGCAGGCCUAACACAUGCAAGUCGAAUGGUAACAGGAAACAGCUUGCUGUUUCGCUGACGAGUGGCGGACGGGUGAGUAAUGUCUGGGAAACUGCCUGAUGGAGGGGGAUAACUACUGGAAACGGUAGCUAAUACCGCAUAACGUCGCAAGACCAAAGAGGGGGACCUUCGGGCCUCUUGCCAUCAGAUGUGCCCAGAUGGGAUUAGCUAGUAGGUGGGGUAACGGCUCACCUAGGCGACGGUCCCUAGCUGGUCUGAGAGGAUGACCAGCCACACUGGAACUGAGACACGGUCCAGACUCCUACGGGAGGCAGCAGUGGGGAAUAUUGCACAAUGGGCGCAAGCCUGAUGCAGCCAUGCCGCGUGUAUGAAGAAGGCCUUCGGGUUGUAAAGUACUUUCAGCGGGGAGGAAGGGAGUAAAGUUAAUACCUUUGCUCAUUGACGUUACCCGCAGAAGAAGCACCGGCUAACUCCGUG